Molecule: ribosomal RNA, 492 nt
Filed under: uncultured bacterium
Lineage: Bacteria
Description: partial 16S ribosomal RNA
Rfam family: Bacterial small subunit ribosomal RNA
Source: RNAcentral
GACGAACGCUGGCGGUGUGCUUAACACAUGCAAGUGGUGCGACGAACCAGAGCUUGCUCUGGGGCAAAGCCGCGAACGGGUGAGUAACACGUGGGUAAUCUACCCCGAUGACCGGGACAACCCGAGGAAACUCGGGCUAAUACCGGAUGUGGUGCGGAGACAUAAGUCUCUUCACUAAAGGUAGCUUCGGCUUCCGCAUUGGGAGGGGCCCGCGGCCCAUUAGCUUGUUGGUGGGGUCAAGGCCUACCAAGGCAACGAUGGGUAGCUGGUCUGAGAGGACGAUCAGCCAAACUGGGACUGAGACACGGCCCAGACUCCUACGGGGGGCAGCAGUGGGGAAUCUUGCGCAAGGGGGGAAAGCGGGACGCAGCAACACCGCGUGAGGGAAGAAGGCCUUGGGGUUGUAAACCUUUUUCAGAUGGGACGAAGGUUCCCCGGUGAAUAGCCGGGGGGAUGGACGGUACCGUAAGAAGAAGCCCCGGCUAACUACGU